UACAGAGGUCCCGAGCGUUGUUCGGAUUCAUUGGGCGUAAAGGGUGCGUAGGCGGCGGGGCAAGUCUGAUGUGAAAUCCCGGGGCUCAACCCCGGAACUGCAUUGGAUACUGCCUUGCUCGAGUACUGGAGAGGGAACUGGAAUUUACGGUGUAGCAGUGAAAUGCGUAGAGAUCGUAAGGAAGGCCAGUGGCGAAGGCGAGUUCCUGGACAGUUACUGACGCUGAGGCACGAAGGCCAGGGGAGCGAACGGG
This 253-nucleotide ribosomal RNA is filed under the name uncultured bacterium. Its description in RNAcentral is "partial 16S ribosomal RNA". It matches the Rfam family "Bacterial small subunit ribosomal RNA", at positions 524 to 776 of the family's 1533-position model. The record is from RNAcentral.